This 372-nucleotide ribosomal RNA is filed under the name uncultured organism. RNAcentral describes it as "bacterial SSU rRNA". It matches the Rfam family "Bacterial small subunit ribosomal RNA", at positions 526 to 896 of the family's 1533-position model. The record is from RNAcentral.
CGUAGGGUCCAAGCGUUAUCCGGAAUCACUGGGCGUAAAGCGUGCGUAGGCGGCGUGUUAAGUGUGAUGUUAAAUCGUGGGGCUCAACCCUGUCGGUGCAUCGCAUACUGGCAUGCUAGAGGAAGGCAGAGGCAAGUGGAAUUGGUAGUGUAGCAGUGAAAUGCGUAGAUAUUACCAGGAACACCAAUGGCGAAGGCAGCUUGCUGGGCCUUUUCUGACGCUGAGGUACGAAAGCGUGGGGAGCGAACAGGAUUAGAUACCCCGGUAGUCCACGCCGUAAACGAUGCAUACUAGACGUAUGGGGUAUCGACCCCCUGUGCGUCGAAGCUAGCGCGAUAAGUAUGCCGCCUGGGAAGUACGGCCGCAAGGCUA